This 254-nucleotide ribosomal RNA is filed under the name uncultured bacterium. RNAcentral's name for it is "partial 16S ribosomal RNA". It matches the Rfam family "Bacterial small subunit ribosomal RNA", at positions 524 to 776 of the family's 1533-position model. The record is from RNAcentral.
UACGGGGGGAGCAAGCGUUGUUCGGAUUUACUGGGCGUAAAGGGCGCGUAGGCGGUCAGCACAAGUCAGUUGUGAAAUCUCCGGGCUUAACUCGGAAAGGUCAACUGAUACUGUGCGACUAGAGUGCAGAAGGGGCAACUGGAAUUCUCGGUGUAGCGGUGAAAUGCGUAGAUAUCAGGAGGAACACCUGUGGCGAAAGCGGCUCACUGGACCAUUACUGACGCUGAUGCUCGAAAGCUAGGGGAGCAAACAGG